CCGCUGUCUGCAGGGAACAGAGCACACACUCAGACCGUGGGCAGGAGAUGCCUGUGUAGUGCCUACAGAGGGGUGUGUAUGCCUGUGGUACACUACAGCUGUGUGCACAAAGGCAUGUGGGACACACACACUAUAGCACAUAGUUCCCCUUUAACACACAGCACUGCCUGUCUGUCUCAAAGGGAAUAGUAACACAAAUAAACCCUUUUUCUGUAGAAAAUGUAUCUAUAUAUGUUUGUAUAUAGGGGGAGCAGAUGCAGAGGGUUACACAGCUACAACUAAUACUGUAUACCUAUAUAUGUGUGUGUAUAGGUCACACACAAACAUCUCUAGUUUUAUCAUGUAGAUAGAUAAAGGGCAGGUAUGUAUAGAUGUGUCUAUAUUUUACAUAUAUAUUACACAUCUAUAAUCCAUUCUACCUGCAUAUGUACACAGUCAGUCAAUAGAUACUUAUUGGCCACAGCCCCUCCCUUUAAAUACUCGUAAUUAGCUACUGUUAAAACAGAAUGCAAACACACCCACACUCCUACUUGUCUUUAUAUAUAUAUAUAUAUAUAUAUACACACACACACAUUAUACCUAUAUGUGAACAACCCCCCCCACUAUAUGCAGACAGUUUUUAAAUUUGGCAUGCACACAUAUGGAUACAUAAAAGGUGUGUGUGGCUCCUUAUUUGUACACUGGGGAUGGCUUUACAGGGAUACACAGCUGUACAUAAUGCCAUUUACCUGCAUAGCUAUGUGAACACACACUACAUACACUACAAAGGUGUAUAUAUGCAGUGUCUCACACAUCCAAUUUUAUAUAAUCAUCAUCUUUAUAUACAGACAUGAGGAAUUGUGUCUGUGUGAGCCCAAGAUAGUAUACAUUAUACACACAUGACAUAUAGUGCCCCGUUGAAAGACACCUGUCAUUAAACAAAAUAUGCACAACCCUCAUAUAGAAAUAUAUAUGUAUUUCUCUGUAUCUGUAUCUAUGGGACAGAUAUGUAUGUAACAGAUUAUACCUGUGCAUGAACACGUCCUGCUACAUUUAUGUAGCUGUUCAUACACAGGUAUGGAUAGUCUUUAUACCCAGUACCAUUCUAUAACGGGGAUGAACAUAGACAGCUCUGUAAUAUAUACACCUCUAUAAGUAAUGCCAUAUACCAACCUGCCUCUGUCUCUAUAUACAUCUGCACAUUUUCUACAAUGUAUGUAUGGCUAUAUAGUCUCCUGUCACACACAUAUAUAUGUAAUACGUAUAUAGAGAUUUAUCUCUAAGAAGAUCCAUAUAUAACACAGUGUAUAUACAUAUGACAGACUAUGUAAUACAGGGUCCCCCCUUAAAUUCAUUUAAUUACCUAUAAACAGAACACACAUGCUCUCACACACCUGUACUUACCUUUAUGUAUAAGUACAUGUAUUUCUCAUUGUGUGUGUAUAGCUGGGGAAUGUAUGUACAGGGAUAAUACAUUGUACCUAUACAGGAACACCCCCUCUUUACAGACUUUAAGUGUGUGUGUGUGUGUGUGUAUAUAUAUAUAUAUAAAUUUUAUAUAUAUAUACGUACACACACAUACACAUGUACCUUUUUAUAGCCUUCCAAGUAUGUUAUGGGGAUGUAUAUAGAGGGACAUGCAUCUCUAUAUAAUACCACAGACCUCUCUAUUCCUGUGUGCACACAUACGUGUAAUAGUUAUAUACACAGUCUCUUGCCCACCUUAUUUUAUAUACACAUAAUUUUCAUAUAUAGAUUUAACCAUAUAGAUGUGGGAAGAGCUGUUGCUAUGUGUAUACAUACAACUAAAGUAAUACAUUAGACCUAUACAUAGAUACAUACAGAUAGUAUAUAUAUAUAGAGAGAGAGAGAGAGAGAGAGAGUACAUAGUUGUCAUCCUCCCCCUUUGAAAACAUAAUUACCACUCUUUAUAAAUAGAGUAUAUACACUUAUACACAGGUACACUUAUCUUUGUGUAUAAAUAUUUACAUAUUAUAGUCUGUAUAUGUGAAUCUGGAAUGUAUAUACAGGAAUAUACAUAUAUAACGUGUAUCAAAUAACAUAUACAUAUUAUAAAUAACACAUUAUAUAUGACACCUCCAACCUUUAUACAUCUUUUAAAUUGUAUACAUACACCAUCUUAUAUAUAGCCAAGUUUACUAUGGGGAUAUAUACACAGCAAUGUACCAUAUAUAAUACAACAUAUACCUAUAAACAUGUGCACACGUGUACAUAUAGAUGUUUGAUAAAUAUAAUACUCCCUUUAAAUACAUAAAAUUUUCUGUCUUUAACUAGAAUACAACCCCCCAUAUACUUUAUGUAGAAAUAUAUAUAUGUGUGUGUGUGUACAUACACAGGGAAUGCAUAUAUAGAAAUCUACAUAUAUAAUACAUUAAAGCACAGCCACAUCCACAUUACACUUAACACCUGUUAGACAUAUAAAAUUAUAUGUACCCCCCCUUUUAAUGUCUCUCCAUGUAUAUUAUGGGCAUAUACAUCUAUAAGUAUUACCAUAUACCUGUGUGUGUGUGUAUAUAUAUAUAUAUAUAUAUAUAUAUAUACGUACACACACACAUACAUACAUAUAAGUAAUAUACAUAGGUAUAUAUACAGUGUCUCUCACAGACCUAUUUUUAUAUAUACAUAAUCUUUACACAUACAUUUAUCCAUAUGGCUAGGGGGAACAGCUGGGUAUAUACUUGCCCCAUAUAUGGUACAUAAUGCAUGUAUAUAUAUGAUGCUUACAUAUUUAUAUGUCUGUAUCUCUGUAUAUAGGUGUGGAACGUAUAUAUAGGGAUGUAUGAGAACACACACACAUAUAAUGUUAUGUAUACAGGUACACAGAUGUGGUCCCUCACACCUUUUCCUCCUUUUCUUAGCCAUACAUACACCUAAACCUAUGUAGAGAUUCAUGCAUCUUUAUAUAUAUAGUCUUGUAUAGACUGGGGAUGUAUAUAGAGGGAGAUACACAAAUAAAGACAAUACUUUAUACCUCC
Long non-coding RNA from Pseudopipra pipra, 2975 nucleotides. RefSeq lists it as uncharacterized. The transcript has 2 exons. Lineage: Eukaryota; Metazoa; Chordata; Aves; Passeriformes; Pipridae. The record is from RefSeq and is a predicted model, not a curated record.